This 57-nucleotide transfer RNA is filed under the name Diaphorina citri (Asian citrus psyllid). It matches the Rfam family "tRNA", at positions 10 to 63 of the family's 71-position model. Rfam says of the family: Transfer RNA (tRNA) molecules are approximately 80 nucleotides in length. Their secondary structure includes four short double-helical elements and three loops (D, anti-codon, and T loops). Further hydrogen bonds mediate the characteristic L-shaped molecular structure. tRNAs have two regions of fundamental functional importance: the anti-codon, which is responsible for specific mRNA codon recognition, and the 3' end, to which the tRNAs corresponding amino acid is attached (by aminoacyl-tRNA synthetases). tRNAs cope with the degeneracy of the genetic code in two manners: having more than one tRNA (with a specific anti-codon) for a particular amino acid; and 'wobble' base-pairing, i.e. permitting non-standard base-pairing at the 3rd anti-codon position. The record is from Rfam by way of RNAcentral. Lineage: Eukaryota; Metazoa; Arthropoda; Insecta; Hemiptera; Psyllidae.
GCUUAGUUGGUUAAAGCGCCUGUCUAGUAAACAGGAGAUCCCGAGUUCGAAUCUCGG